Molecule: long non-coding RNA, 760 nt
Organism: Lycium barbarum (goji berry)
Lineage: Eukaryota; Viridiplantae; Streptophyta; Magnoliopsida; Solanales; Solanaceae
Exons: 3
Source: RefSeq, a predicted model, not a curated record
AGAAGACAAAAACUUGAGAGCCCCAUUUUCUUUCUCCACUGUUUCGGCCAGCCAAGGAGGAAACCAACCCCCAUUUUUAGCUUCCCAAAAAUUAUUUCCUUGGUGUUAACCCACUAAUCUAAGGACCCUAAGUAGAGUGGAAGCAUCGUUGGAGCGAUCAACCUAUUAAUUUUUCAUCUUUUGGAAAACCCUAGCCUAUUGGAAGUUGAAGAGAAAAAGAUCGUGGGCAGCCCGAAUCAUAGUUUGGACUUAGCUCGAGUUGGAUCAUAUUGGAGAGCGUUCGAGGUACAGACGCACAGUUCGGUGAUCCCCCAGUUUAGGAUAUCCCCUUCAGCUGUUUGGAGUGCUCUUCUCAUUUCAGAGCAUACACUUUUGGUAUAUACUUUUGUUCGUUACGUAUGUAUAUAUAGUUGUUCCGGGUACGGCGGGGCCCUGUUCCGCCAUAUGAUUCGUUUGGUCUGUUUAGAGGUCUGUAGACUUAUUUGUGGGUGUGUGUGCCUACUACUGUACAUUUGUGUCCAUAUGAUCUCUUUCGUUAUGGCAGCCUUGUCGGCUCGCACAUGUAUAUGUUGUUCUGUUGGCACUGUGUGGCCUUUGUUGGUAUUUGCUGUGUACAGGGUUAUUUUGGAUAGUCCGAAAAACAAAGGAAACUCUGCCGAAAUUUUCUUUGAAAAUCUUGUAAAUUUGAAACACCGCCUUGUCGGCUUCUGUUAUAUACCUGGAUGUGUUUGAUAUAAUCUGAGGCAGCGUUUGAUAUUUG